GGUUGAAUAGGCGUAACCAGAAAAUCGUCGCCACUUAAAAUAAGUUUAUCAAUGACUUUCGGAUUAUUUCGAAAAUACUUCUGGAGAUUCUGCAAAUUAUGAAAUUUUCGAAGAAAUCUCUAGAAUCUCUGAAGAUAGAAAACACAUGCCUUAAGCAGCGGAAUGAAAUCUGUCUGCCUGGAAAUCAGAACCUCCAGUUUCAAAACCGGAACCUCCAAUUUUAGCUCGGGCAGAGAGAAACCCUUAAACCAUAAGCAAUGCAAGUGAGGUAAAGAUCAAACCAGGUUUAGACAAUGUGCUCAUAUGGUGUAUCUUAGUAUAAACACAAAGUUCCUGCACUUAACAAACACUAACACCUGAGUAGAUCAACCAAUGUUAUAAGAUUAACAAUGAAGUAGAAGUGAAAAGCAAAUGUAAGCAACUAGUGAGGAGACACAAUGAUUUGUUU
This 448-nucleotide long non-coding RNA is filed under the name Setaria viridis. RNAcentral describes it as "long non-coding RNA (SVIR_LNC001854)". The record is from RNAcentral. Lineage: Eukaryota; Viridiplantae; Streptophyta; Magnoliopsida; Poales; Poaceae.